This 465-nucleotide ribosomal RNA is filed under the name uncultured bacterium. RNAcentral describes it as "bacterial SSU rRNA". It matches the Rfam family "Bacterial small subunit ribosomal RNA", at positions 330 to 793 of the family's 1533-position model. The record is from RNAcentral.
CCCAGACUCCUACGGGAGGCAGCAGUGAGGAAUAUUGGUCAAUGGCCGCAGGGCUGAACCAGCCAAGUCGCGUGAGGGAUGACGGUCCUAUGGAUUGUAAACCUCUUUUGUCAGGGAGCAAAGGGCGCCACGUGUGGCGUUUUGCGAGUACCUGAAGAAAAAGCAUCGGCUAACUCCGUGCCAGCAGCCGCGGUAAUACGGAGGAUGCGAGCGUUAUCCGGAUUUAUUGGGUUUAAAGGGUGCGCAGGCGGAAUGUCAAGUCAGCGGUAAAAUUUCGGGGCUCAACCCCGUACUGCCGUUGAAACUGCAUCCCUUGAGUGCGCGAGAAGUAUGCGGAAUGCGCGGUGUAGCGGUGAAAUGCAUAGAUAUCGCGCAGAACUCCGAUUGCGAAGGCAGCAUGCCGGCUCCACACUGACGCUGAGGCACGAAAGCGUGGGUAUCGAACAGGAUUAGAUACCCUUGUAU